This is a non-coding RNA of Paramarasmius palmivorus, 94 nucleotides long. Lineage: Eukaryota; Fungi; Basidiomycota; Agaricomycetes; Agaricales; Marasmiaceae. The record is from the annotation of a GenBank genome assembly.
GUCCUGGUCGAUUAGUGGUUAAAUCAUCUCGUUGUGGUGUAAUUUGAAAUGUAGAUGCUCCGAGAAGCCGAGGGCUCGACUCCCUCCCGGGACA